GAAAUGCGAUAAGUAAUGUGAAUUGCAGAAUUCAGUGAAUCAUCGAAUCUUUGAACGCACCUUGCGCUCCUUGGUAUUCCUUGGAGCAUGCCUGUUUGAGUAUCAUGAAAUCUUCAAAGUAAAUCUUUUGUUAACUCAAUUGGUUUCUACUUUGGUAUUGGAGGUCUUUGCAGCUUCACACCUGCUCCUCUUUGUUCAUUAGCUGGAUCUCAGUGUUAGGCUUGGUUCCACGCGGCGUGAUAAGUUAUCUAUCGCUGAGGACACUGUAAAAGGUGGCCAAGGUAAAUGCAGAUGAACCGCUUCUAAUAGUCCAUUGACUUGGACAAUACUUUUAUGAUCUGAUCUCAAAUCAGGUAGGACUACCCGCUGAACUUAAGC
This 378-nucleotide unclassified non-coding RNA is filed under the name plant metagenome. RNAcentral's name for it is "partial contains 5.8S ribosomal RNA, internal transcribed spacer 2, and large subunit ribosomal RNA". The stretch from base 1 to 105 matches the Rfam family "5.8S ribosomal RNA", at positions 50 to 154 of the family's 154-position model. The record is from RNAcentral.